UAAGGAAUAUUGGUCAAUGGACGCAAGUCUGAACCAGCCAUGCCGCGUGAAGGAUGAAGGUCCUCUGGAUUGUAAACUUCUUUUAUCUGGGACGAAAACGGGAUUUUUAUCUCAAUUGACGGUACCCUAUGAAUAAGCACCGGCUAACUCCGUGCCAGCAGCCGCGGUAAUACGGAGGGUGCAAGCGUUAUCCGGAUUUACUGGGUUUAAAGGGUGCGUAGGCGGGCAUGUAAGUCAGUGGUGAAAUACCGGAGCUUAACUUCGGAACUGCCAUUGAUACUAUAUGUCUUUAAUAUUGUGGAGGUAAGCGGAAUAAGUCAUGAAGCGGUGAAAUGCAUAGAUAUGACAUAGAACACCGAUUGCGGAGGCAGCUUGCUACGCAAAUAUUGACGCUGAGGCACG
This 402-nucleotide ribosomal RNA is filed under the name uncultured bacterium. RNAcentral's name for it is "bacterial SSU rRNA". It matches the Rfam family "Bacterial small subunit ribosomal RNA", at positions 355 to 755 of the family's 1533-position model. The record is from RNAcentral.